RNAcentral lists this transfer RNA (76 nucleotides) under Mesobacillus maritimus. Its description in RNAcentral is "tRNA-Asn". It matches the Rfam family "tRNA". From Rfam's summary of the family: Transfer RNA (tRNA) molecules are approximately 80 nucleotides in length. Lineage: Bacteria; Bacillati; Bacillota; Bacilli; Caryophanales; Bacillaceae. The record is from RNAcentral. RNAcentral also lists the same sequence under 1 other name.
UCCGCAGUAGCUCAGUUGGUAGAGCAUUCGGCUGUUAACCGAACGGUCGUAGGUUCGAGUCCUACCUGCGGAGCCA